RNAcentral lists this ribosomal RNA (305 nucleotides) under uncultured bacterium. RNAcentral's name for it is "bacterial SSU rRNA". It matches the Rfam family "Bacterial small subunit ribosomal RNA", at positions 333 to 653 of the family's 1533-position model. The record is from RNAcentral.
CAGUUCCUACGGGACGCAGCAGUGGGGAAUAUUGGGCAAUGGGCGAAAGCCUGACCCAGCAACGCCGCGUGAAGGAAGAAGGCUUUCGGGUUGUAAACUUCUUUUGACAGGGAAGAGCAGAAGACGGUACCUGUCGAAUAAGCCACGGCUAACUACGUGCCAGCAGCCGCGGUAAUACGUAGGUGGCAAGCGUUGUCCGGAUUUACUGGGUGUAAAGGGCGUGUAGCCGGGCUGACAAGUCAGAUGUGAAAUCCGGGGGCUCAACCCCCGAACUGCAUUUGAAACUGUUGUGCUUGAGUAUCGGA